CCCUCGCCCGCCCCCCAUCAUGAUAUCAGAUUCAGAGGCCUGGCUGAGCCCUGUGAUUUAGCCAAAUUCAAUAUGAUUCUUUUCUACUGUGAUGUUAAGGCCCUUGUGUCAUGCAGCGUAUUCGGUAGCACCGGUACACAACUUAUGUUAAACCGCGACGUCUGCUGCAAUUCAAAUUGCAUAUGACGCCAACGGAAUUGUGACGACUUGUUUCUCAAAUCUUUUAGUGAACAGUGAUCACGGGCUGUGGGAAUUGCGAAGGGAUGGUGUAGAGUAUCGCCACAACAAUGUUGAUAUGAUCACUCGUCGUUUCAGCGGGCAUGACUUGGUACAUCCAGUGACCCAGCAAAAAGUAGCCUCGGUACAGCCAGAAGUAGCAACAAAUCGCAAAAGGGGAUCCUUGUCUGACUGGUGGCUGGACCACAUGACACUUGUUGGAAAAGGAAGGACCAAAGGUGCCAUCGUCGAGGGCCCAGAUAGAUGAAGAGAUUGAAGCCUGGGCUGCACACAAUCCUGUUAGUAACAAAAAAAGGAGGAAAAAAUGCUGUCCCAUUUGUCCAUAUGCCCAGCGCCAGAACCCAUUUAUACAUCUGGGUAGUGAGAAAAUCUAGGAAGAAGUCGCCACCCACUGAUGAUCUCAUCCG
This is a long non-coding RNA of Lineus longissimus, 644 nucleotides long. RefSeq lists it as uncharacterized. The record is from RefSeq and is a predicted model, not a curated record. Lineage: Eukaryota; Metazoa; Nemertea; Pilidiophora; Heteronemertea; Lineidae. The transcript has 3 exons.